AUAGUUGUAGCUCAAUUGGUAGAGCAGUGGUCUCCAAAACCACCGGUUGUAGGUUCAAGUCCUUCCAACUAUG
This 73-nucleotide transfer RNA is filed under the name Bacteriophage sp. Its description in RNAcentral is "tRNA-Trp". It matches the Rfam family "tRNA". From Rfam's summary of the family: Transfer RNA (tRNA) molecules are approximately 80 nucleotides in length. Their secondary structure includes four short double-helical elements and three loops (D, anti-codon, and T loops). The record is from RNAcentral.